Molecule: ribosomal RNA, 410 nt
Filed under: uncultured microorganism
Description: bacterial SSU rRNA
Rfam family: Bacterial small subunit ribosomal RNA
Source: RNAcentral
GAGUUUGAUCGUGGCUCAGAUUGAACGCUGGCGGCAUGCCUUACACAUGCAAGUCGAACGGUAACAGGUCUUCGGAUGCUGACGAGUGGCGAACGGGUGAGUAAUACAUCGGAACGUGCCCGAUCGUGGGGGAUAACGAAGCGAAAGCUUUGCUAAUACCGCAUAAGAUCUACGGAUGAAAGCAGGGGACCGCAAGGCCUUGCGCGAACGGAGCGGCCGAUGGCAGAUUAGGUAGUUGGUGGGAUAAAAGCUUACCAAGCCGACGAUCUGUAGCUGGUCUGAGAGGACGACCAGCCACACUGGGACUGAGACACGGCCCAGACUCCUACGGGAGGCAGCAGUGGGGAAUUUUGGACAAUGGGCGAAAGCCUGAUCCAGCCAUGCCGCGUGCAGGAUGAAGGCCUUCGGUU